Erpetoichthys calabaricus (reedfish) is the source of this 308-nucleotide long non-coding RNA. RefSeq lists it as uncharacterized. NCBI's taxonomy places the organism in Eukaryota, Metazoa, Chordata, Cladistia, Polypteriformes, Polypteridae. The transcript has 2 exons. The record is from RefSeq and is a predicted model, not a curated record.
UGAUAACAGGCUCGAUUUUUGUUCCUUUUCAAAUAAACCAAGACCAUCUUGGAGAAGUCUCAGUUUGCCUGGAGAACUCAAACCCACUGAUGUUCCUUUUCAAACCUGGAGGUCCCAUCUCUUCUGUCUCGCAGUUAACUUAAAAAACAGGAAUGGGAGAAGUCGGCAUUCAGACCAGACCUGAAACUGAAGGGUAUAGAGCUGCGACAUUACAAAGAAAAUCACUGGAAGAAGGCCCAAAAGGAACUUUUCUUCCUUGACAGUUUUUCUUUUUGCAUUAAAUGGGGUGGCAGUUGGCCCCAAACUUU